GGAUAAUAGUUAAUUAUAACAUUUAAUUUGCAUUUAAAAAGUAUUGUACUACAAUUUAUCUUA
RNAcentral lists this transfer RNA (63 nucleotides) under Cassidinae sp. ACP-2018. RNAcentral's name for it is "tRNA-Ala". The record is from RNAcentral. Lineage: Eukaryota; Metazoa; Arthropoda; Insecta; Coleoptera; Chrysomelidae.